GAGAUAGAACAGCUGCUGAGAGCAGGCUCUCUUUAAGAGCCUUGGCUCCUGCAUGGACUCUGGAGGCCACAGGAAUGGACAGCCUUGCCUAAUGAUGCCAAGGACCAGGCUGGCUUGCUUGUGUUUUGUCCACUUCACAACCUUCUCUAAAGCCCGACUGAGAACUUGCUCCCCAAAGAAAGUUCCUCAUACCCUGCUCUUGGAAGGACUUGGGUCAGUGCUCGGAGAAUCGUUCUGCUUAAUUCUUUGUGAAAAAAUUAAGCAGGCUAGCAUUACCCCUGCUUGGCUGAGGUGAUCAAGAUCUUUCAACAAGGAAGUGUGGCUCAGUGUGAGUACCUACAUCUUCAGAGAAGACAGUAACGCUGGAAGAAUAGCCCUUGAUAACUGAAGAGAAGCUGUUAGUCAGCAGCUCUGUGCCACACCAAAAACAAAAGAAGACAAGACAAACAGAAAACAACACCAACAAACUCAACUGUUUACAUUGUGGCAGAGGGCUUGUGUGACAGUCAGCACUGAUGUACAGCUAGGGGAGAGACAGAGAAAAGGAGCGAGGACAUUUUGUGGUAAGGCUAUCUAUGGAACUAUUAGCAUUUUAUAAAUGAGCGUUAUUAUAAAUACAUUAAUGUAAAAAUAAGAAUUUGAGUUUU
This is a long non-coding RNA of Meriones unguiculatus (Mongolian gerbil), 647 nucleotides long. RefSeq lists it as uncharacterized. The record is from RefSeq and is a predicted model, not a curated record. The transcript has 3 exons. NCBI's taxonomy places the organism in Eukaryota, Metazoa, Chordata, Mammalia, Rodentia, Muridae.